CACGACACUAAAACGCCAUCGUGCUGUACUUUUUCCGAGUCAGAAAUGCUCCGUGAGGGUUCACCGGCACUGUAAGAGUUAACAGACAGCCGGGUGACAACACAAACAUCAGAGAAGGUUUGGUUGUCAUGGUGAUGGUUUCGUAAGGGGCGUGUGUUGUUAUGUGCUGACUGUGAUUGUGUUCAUCAUCGACGCUCGGAGGAGAAACGAAAGCGAUGAGACAGACUGAACACGAGCGUUUCUCUGGAACUCCUCUCAAGCGCUCCCUCGUCGAGCUGAUCAUGUGUUUGAUGAGGCCGAUCGCGAGAGUGUUCCCGUGGCUCUUCCGGUGGAUCUCGAGCGGGAACGUGAACGUGAUGAUCCGCGAUGACGAAGAGACGCCCGUGUUUUUUGACCUGGAGACCACCGGACUGGGUAAUAAUGCAAUACACUUCUUAUUAGAUUUAAAUAUAUUACACAGAUAUUGUGAUCUGUUAAGAUUUUUAUAAUGAACACAACCGUCUAUAGAAUGUAAUAUGCCCGUGAUACAUCUAUUAUUAAUUAUGUAGCAAUUAAUUAAUUGCUUUAUCAUUUAUAUUAUUAUUUAAUAUUUUAUAAAUAUAUAUUUUAUUGAACAAAUGAGAUGUGAAAGUGAAAACACGUUAUAUAUUAUAAUGUCAAUAUAUAUAUAUAUAUAUAACAAAACUUACAAUAUUUCAGUAUUUUAGUGUAAAAUUACAUUCAUUGUGUUUUUAAAUAUUUUUAUAAUUAGUUUUUUUUUAAUUAGUUUCUUGUUAAAAAUACUUUUUAACGGUUUUUUGCUGUAGAAUCACAUGCAGUGUGUUUCUAAAAAUGAUACUUUUCACUCAUAGGUCACACUUUACAAUAAUCAUGUACUAACGCCUAAAUUAAUACUUAAUUCAUCAUCAACCAGUGGUUAUUAAAGGUGUUAACUGAUCGUUAACUAGUGAAGAGGUGUCUUGAACUACGACUGGAGUCAUGGGUUCACGCAUGAGUAACACAGACUUAACUACAUGUGAGUACAUGUUUGAUAGUUAGUGGAUUAAUUAACAUUUAGGGGUAAACUAAAUUGAACAGCCCCUUUAAGAAGGAAGAAGAAAAAUCAUUGGAUAAUGGAGACUAUAAAUAAAAUUAUAUAUAGAUUUUUUAAAACGAUGCA
This is a long non-coding RNA of Cyprinus carpio (common carp), 1159 nucleotides long. The record is from Ensembl. NCBI's taxonomy places the organism in Eukaryota, Metazoa, Chordata, Actinopteri, Cypriniformes, Cyprinidae.